RNAcentral lists this ribosomal RNA (458 nucleotides) under uncultured bacterium. RNAcentral describes it as "bacterial SSU rRNA". It matches the Rfam family "Bacterial small subunit ribosomal RNA", at positions 335 to 775 of the family's 1533-position model. The record is from RNAcentral.
ACUCCUACGGGAGGCAGCAGUGGGGAAUAUUGCACAAUGGGCGGCAAGCCAUGACUGCAGCCAUGCCGCGCUGUGUGAAGAAGGCCAAUUCGGGCUUGUUAAAGACACUUUUCAGUCGUGAGGAAGGUAGUGUAGUUAAUAGCUGCAUUAUUUGACGUUAGCGACAGAAGAAGCACCGGCUAACUCCGUGCCAGCAGCCGCGGUAAUACGGAGGGUGCGAGCGUUAAUCGGAAUUACUGGGCGUAAAGCGCAUGCAGGUGGCUUGUUAAGUCAGAUGUGAAAGCCCGGGGCUCAACCUCGGAAUUGCAUUUGAAACUGGCAGACUAGAGUACUGUAGAGGGGGGUAGAAUUUCAGGUGUAGCGGUGAAAUGCGUAGAGAUCUGAAGGAAUACCGGUGGCGAAGGCGGCCCCCUGGACAGAUACUGACACUCAGAUGCCUCCCGUAGGAGUACUGUCAU